AGUUGGUGGAGUGAUUUGUCUGCUUAAUUGCGAUAACGAACGAGACCUUAACCUACUAAAUAGUGGUGCUAGCAUUUGCUGGUUAUCCACUUCUUAGAGGGACUAUCGGUUUCAAGCCGAUGGAAGUUUGAGGCAAUAACAGGU
Molecule: ribosomal RNA, 144 nt
Filed under: uncultured fungus
Lineage: Eukaryota; Fungi
Description: partial small subunit ribosomal RNA
Rfam family: Eukaryotic small subunit ribosomal RNA
Source: RNAcentral